This 336-nucleotide unclassified non-coding RNA is filed under the name soil metagenome. RNAcentral describes it as "partial contains 5.8S ribosomal RNA, internal transcribed spacer 2, and large subunit ribosomal RNA". The stretch from base 1 to 120 matches the Rfam family "5.8S ribosomal RNA", at positions 35 to 154 of the family's 154-position model. The record is from RNAcentral.
GAUGAAGAACGUAGCGAAACGCGAUAGUUAAUGUGAAUUGCAGAAUUCAGUGAAUCAUCGAGUCUUUGAACGCACAUUGCGCCCUUCGGUAUUCCGGAGGGCAUGUCUGUUUGAGCGUCAUUUCAACACCUCGCUUUAAGCGGUAUUGAGUUGAGACUAUAAAUGAACUCAACUUUAAAGUUGAAUGUUGCAGACGAAUGGCUUGAUUAGCAUAGUAUAAUCUUUUGAUUUAUCCUGUUGUUCAUGACAUUCGUCUUGCCUACAAAUUUUUCUAAAGUUUGACCUCAAAUCAGAUAAGGAUACCCGCUGAACUUAAGCAUAUCAAUAAGCGGAGGA